CCUACGGUAGUCAGCAGUGGGGAAUAUUGCACAAUGGGGGAAACCCUGCUGCAGCGACGCCGCGUGAGUGAAGAAUUAAUUCGUUAUGUAAAGCUCUAUCAGCAGGGACGAAAAUGACGGUACCUGAGUAAGAAGCCCCGGCUAACUACGUGCCAGCAGCCUCGGUAAUACGUAGGGGGCAAGCGUUAUCCUGAUUUACGGGGGGUAAAGGAGGCGUAGACGGCAGUGCACGUCUGGGUUGAAAGGCGGGGGCUCAACCCCCGGACUGCUCUGGAAACUGGACGGCUGGAGUGCAGGAGAGGUAAGUGGAAGUCCUAGUGUAGCGGUGAAAUGCGUAGAUAUUAGGAGGAACACCAGUGGCGAAGGCGGCUUACUGGACUGUAACUGACGUUGAGGCUCGAAAGCGUGGGGAGCAAACAGGAUUAGAUACCCGUGUAGUC
RNAcentral lists this ribosomal RNA (440 nucleotides) under uncultured bacterium. RNAcentral describes it as "partial 16S ribosomal RNA". It matches the Rfam family "Bacterial small subunit ribosomal RNA", at positions 338 to 795 of the family's 1533-position model. The record is from RNAcentral.